AAAGUGGGCCAUGCUGCCUGUCGGUGUCUGGAGCAGGAGCGGGAGCAGCAGCGAGGGACCCGGAAACAGAGCAUGACAGCACGCAAAGGAAUCCGUCCACCGUACGACUAUAUCCUCUGUAACUGACACCGAGAGAUAACCAGCCUCCUCUCCUCCUCCACGUUUCGACCUAAAUCUACCUCAUUUACUGCCUCACCUAAUCCUGGGAUAUACCUUUCAGUCUAACACCAGGGGUCAUUGACUUUACGCCAGCCUGGGUUAAACUGCUUCCCGGGUGUUUUCAGUUCCCUUACACUUUUUUCACACUCCGUGCACACGGCGAGGGUAAUGGCGAUCAUUCAGGCCACCUGCAAGGAUAAGGCAGUAGUUUGAGGCUUUGGCAUGAGGCAAGCUGCUUGAGCAUCCAACCCCCCCACCACCCCGGACCAUCUGCUUUGACGGCUCACUGACACUGGAUCAGGUCCAAGCCCUUGUUGGUUGGCCUGCAAGAACACUGUAACCUGGAGGAGAGGGAGGUGUGAAAAGUAGAAGUUUCUUAUGUAUUUUUAUUAUUUUCAAACAGCAUAUUCCGGAAUUGUUGAUUUAAGUUUUAGGUGAGUUAGUUCUGUUUGUGUUUCAUUCAUGGUGAAUGAUUAACAGAUCAGCCAUAAAGGUGUCACCCUCCCUUGGAGAGGAGGGAGAGGGUCACUGGGUCAUGCUUGUGGCGUCUGUAUCUUAUUUUUAGUGCUGUAAAUGUGUCUUAAACACAAAAAGAUAAAGAAACCACAAGCAGACGGACAUGUUCUUGUUUUUUGCACGUAAAAAACAAUCUAUAAACUUCCAUUCCCUUUAAAGUCAUGUCAAUAUCAUCCUUUUUUGUAUUAAUUCCCUGUCUGCUCUUUACACAAAUCAAUCCUCUACAGGAUAUUUCUGUUUGAUUGCUCAUAGACUGUGAAUUUCUAAACACAAUAAUCAUAUUACAACAUUAUCAUUUCUUA
Long non-coding RNA from Pleuronectes platessa (European plaice), 977 nucleotides. RefSeq lists it as uncharacterized. The record is from RefSeq and is a predicted model, not a curated record. The transcript has 2 exons. Lineage: Eukaryota; Metazoa; Chordata; Actinopteri; Pleuronectiformes; Pleuronectidae.